GUCACUUCCAGGCCUUUUAGCUAAGAUCAAGUGUAGUAUCUGUUCUUAUCAGUUUAAUAUCUGAUUCGUCCUCUAUCCAAGGAUAUUAUAUUAAAUGGAUUUUUGGAGCUAGGAGAUAGAAUUGCUUCCUUCACUCUGCGCAUUGACCCACUAUUGCACUACUUCCGGGAACAGUGGGCCAGAA
This is a small nuclear RNA of Artibeus jamaicensis (Jamaican fruit-eating bat), 184 nucleotides long. RefSeq annotates it as U2 spliceosomal RNA. The record is from RefSeq and is a predicted model, not a curated record. The transcript has a single exon. NCBI's taxonomy places the organism in Eukaryota, Metazoa, Chordata, Mammalia, Chiroptera, Phyllostomidae.